CUUUACUAUAACUUGGAAUUGGGUUCGGGCUUCGCUUGCGCAGUAUAGGUGGGAGGCAUUGAAGUACCCCUUGUGGGGGGUAUGGAGCUAACAGUGAGAUACCACUCUGGCGAGGCUAGAAUUCUAACCUUAACCCCUGAACGGGGAAAGAGACAGUUUCAGGCGGGUAGUUUGACUGGGGCGGUCGCCUCCUAAAAGAUAACGGAGGCGCGCAAAGGUUCCCUCAGGCUGGUUGGAAAUCAGCCGUAGAGUGUAAAGGCAUAAGAGAGCUUGACUGUGAGACCCACAAGUCGAACAGGGACGAAAGUCGGCCUUAGUGAUCCGACGGCACUGAGUGGAAGGGCCGUCGCUAAACGGAUAAAAGUUA
This 367-nucleotide ribosomal RNA is filed under the name uncultured organism. RNAcentral's name for it is "bacterial LSU rRNA". It matches the Rfam family "Bacterial large subunit ribosomal RNA", at positions 2099 to 2465 of the family's 2925-position model. The record is from RNAcentral.